Canis lupus familiaris (dog) is the source of this 550-nucleotide long non-coding RNA. RefSeq lists it as uncharacterized. Lineage: Eukaryota; Metazoa; Chordata; Mammalia; Carnivora; Canidae. The record is from RefSeq and is a predicted model, not a curated record. The transcript is spliced from 3 exons.
CUAACAAGGCGCCAGGUCCAUGAUGAAAGGUGCUGCUGACCUCAGAGCUGACCCCCUCUGUGGGAAGGGGAGGCCAAGAUACUGACAGAUGGCGACCAGGUAUCUGGCCCUGGGACUGGCCUGGGCAACAGUACUACCAAUGGACAGAGCCGUCCUGCCCUCACGGAGCGGCCUGGUUCCUGGGCCGUACAGCUGCAUUGUAUACGAUUGUAUGGAUACCCCAUGACUUGAUCAACCAAUCCCGAACUGAGGAGCUUCUAAAGAUUGUGCCUCACAAAGACACAAGAACAGGUGGAGCAGUGAAACUUGCACACGAUAGUACAAUGGUGGGUAUAUGUCGCACAUUUGUCAUGGAACCUACAAGACCAGGAGUGAAUCCUAACGUGAACUAUGGAGUCCGGGUGAUAAUGAGGUGUCGGUGUGGAUUUGACAAUUGUAACAAGUGUCCCACUCUGGUGUGGGAGAUGCUGAGAGUGCGUACGUGGGAACAGGGGUAUGUGAGGGCUCUCUGUGUGUUCUACUUAAUUUUUCUGAGACCCUAAAACUGCUC